RNAcentral lists this transfer RNA (73 nucleotides) under Micromonospora craterilacus. It matches the Rfam family "tRNA". From Rfam's summary of the family: Transfer RNA (tRNA) molecules are approximately 80 nucleotides in length. Lineage: Bacteria; Bacillati; Actinomycetota; Actinomycetes; Micromonosporales; Micromonosporaceae. The record is from Rfam by way of RNAcentral.
GCCCCGGUAGCCCAACGGUAGAGGCACCGCCUUCAAGUAGCGGUCAGCGCGGGUUCGACCCCCGCCCGGGGUA